GGGUUGAUCUUGCUGCCAUAUCUGAUAUUCCAAUGAUUGCCAGGAUUGAUUUGGCUAAUCUGGCUUGCUAAGUGCAAGUGUCCACUGAUCUCAUCAUUCUAUUACAGUCCUUCCUGAAGUUGUGCUGCUUUGGUCAAAGGGAACAACAUUUCCAGAGUGAGUCAAGGCUAAAUCAAUUAAUGAGUUCCACUUUUGGAGUAAAAGAAAGCACUUAACCACAGUUCCCAGCUCUGAACUUGCACUAACAGAUUCCAGGAAAGGGGAUUGUCGUGUACACUAGAGUGUAAUCUAGUUCAGUGUCACU
Molecule: small nuclear RNA, 304 nt
Filed under: Equus caballus (horse)
Lineage: Eukaryota; Metazoa; Chordata; Mammalia; Perissodactyla; Equidae
Description: 7SK RNA
Rfam family: 7SK RNA (bases 1-167)
About the family: 7SK was discovered as an abundant small nuclear RNA in the mid-70s but a possible function has only recently been suggested. Two independent studies have found that 7SK RNA binds the CDK9/cyclin T complex (known as elongation factor P-TEFb).
Source: Rfam by way of RNAcentral